Molecule: transfer RNA, 68 nt
Filed under: Monodiamesa sp. 1 CZ-2021a
Lineage: Eukaryota; Metazoa; Arthropoda; Insecta; Diptera; Chironomidae
Description: tRNA-His
Source: RNAcentral
AUUUAAAUAGUUUAAUUAAAAUAUUGAUUUGUGGUGUCAAUGAUAUGAAAUAAGUUUCAUUUUAAAUC